AAUACAAUGACUUUUUAAUAUAACUUGCACUGUUCUGUAUCCAAAGUUGGAUUUACUCAUGUAGUUUGUUCAAUCAGAACCAACAUAUUUUAUAAAUAAGCCUCACACAUGCACAGUCUCUAUAUUACAAUAUUAAUAAGUCUAUCUUAAGCUUUCACAGAAUCAUUUAGGAUGGAAAAAAGCCUUGAAGAGCAUCAAGUCCAACCUUUGACUGACUGAUCACCACCCUGUCAACUAAACCACAGAAUUAAGUGCCGCGUCCAGUCAUUUCUUGAACACCUCCAUAGACAAAAGCUGGCUGGGAGUUGCUGAUCAUGCUCAUGGGCAGACUGGGUAUCAUUUAGAAGGUGUGUGAACACCAUGUAAAUCCUGAUGCAGAUUGGCCUCACUGAUUUUUGCUGUUGACAAAGUGAGAGAAGACACAUGUCAUAAGAGACCUGAGAUGCUCUGAGGAAGCUGAAAUGCAUUUGAGGGAUCCUUCUGGGGAAUGGUAUAUAUGGGAUCAGAAGGGUUCUCCCUUAUGGCUGUAUCAUAAGCACAGGUUAGAAGAGAUGACGCAGCCCCUGUGCACUUCUGAAGCGUGCUUAGACCCUUACUUGUCCCAAAUGUUGUCAUAGAAAUGAAAAAAAGAAAACAUCUGAAUCUUAAAUAUUGGGUAAUUUCCAGAUAACAAUGUGCAAUUC
This is a long non-coding RNA of Corapipo altera (White-ruffed manakin), 683 nucleotides long. RefSeq lists it as uncharacterized. Lineage: Eukaryota; Metazoa; Chordata; Aves; Passeriformes; Pipridae. The transcript has 4 exons. The record is from RefSeq and is a predicted model, not a curated record.